UACGGAGGAUCCAAGCGUUAUCCGGAAUUACUGGGCGUAAAGAGUUGCGUAGGUGGCAGGGUAAGUAGAUAGUGAAAGCGUGUGGCUCAACCAUACAUCCAUUAUCUAAACUGCUCAGCUAGAGGAUGAGAGAGGUUAUUGGAAUUCCCAGUGUAGGAGUGAAAUCCGUAGAUAUUGGGAGGAACACCGAUGGCGUAGGCAGAUAACUGGCUCAUUCCUGACACUAAGGCACGAAAGCGUGGGGAGCAAACGGG
RNAcentral lists this ribosomal RNA (254 nucleotides) under uncultured bacterium. RNAcentral's name for it is "partial 16S ribosomal RNA". It matches the Rfam family "Bacterial small subunit ribosomal RNA", at positions 524 to 776 of the family's 1533-position model. The record is from RNAcentral.